RNAcentral lists this ribosomal RNA (500 nucleotides) under uncultured bacterium. RNAcentral describes it as "partial 16S ribosomal RNA". It matches the Rfam family "Bacterial small subunit ribosomal RNA", at positions 30 to 523 of the family's 1533-position model. The record is from RNAcentral.
AUUGAACGCUGGCGGAAUGCUUUACACAUGCAAGUCGAACGGCAGCACGGACUUCGGUCUGGUGGCGAGUGGCGAACGGGUGAGUAAUGUAUCGGAACGUGCCCAGUCGAGGGGGAUAACGUAGUGAAAAUUACGCUAAUACCGCAUACGAUCUAUGGAUGAAAGCGGGGGAUCGCAAGACCGCGCGCGAUUGGAGCGGCCGAUAUCAGAUUAGGUAGUUGGUGUGGUAAAGGACCACCAAGCCAACGAUCUGGAGCUGGUCUGAGCGGACGACCAGCCACACUGGAACUGAGACGCGGGCCAGACUCCUACGGGAGGCAGCAGUGGGGAAUUUUGGACAAUGGGCGAAAGCCUGAUCCAGCCAUUCCGCGUGCAGGAUGAAGGCCCUCGGGUUGUAAACUGCUUUUGUACAGAACGAAAAGGUUUCUACUAAUACUAGGAGCUCAUGACGGUACUGUAAGAAUAAGCACCGGCUAACUACGUGCCAGCAGCCGCAGUAA